RNAcentral lists this ribosomal RNA (466 nucleotides) under uncultured bacterium. RNAcentral's name for it is "bacterial SSU rRNA". It matches the Rfam family "Bacterial small subunit ribosomal RNA", at positions 329 to 793 of the family's 1533-position model. The record is from RNAcentral.
UUCCAGACUCCUACGGGAGGCAGCAGUGAGGAAUAUUGGUCAAUGGGAGAGAUCCUGAACCAGCCAAGCCGCGUGAGGGAAGACGGCCCUAUGGGUUGUAAAACUCUUUUGUCGGAGAACAAAACCCGGGACGUGUCCCGGACUGCGUGUAUCCGAAGAAAAAGCAUCGGCUAACUCCGUGCCAGCAGCCGCGGUAACACGGAGGAUGCGAGCGUUAUCCGGAUUUAUUGGGUUUAAAGGGUGCGUAGGCGGCCCGUUAAGCCAGGGGAAAAAUUGGGGGGCUCAACCCCGUCGAGCCGUUGAAACUGGCAGUCUCGAGUUGGAGAGAAGUAUGCGGAAUGCGCGGUGUAGCGGUGAAAUGCAUAGAUAUCACGCAGAACUCCGAUUGCGAAGGCAGCAUACCGGCGCGCAACUGACGCUCAUGCACGAAAGCGUGGGUAUCGAACAGGAUUAGAUACCCUGGUAA